Molecule: ribosomal RNA, 253 nt
Filed under: uncultured bacterium
Lineage: Bacteria
Description: partial 16S ribosomal RNA
Rfam family: Bacterial small subunit ribosomal RNA
Source: RNAcentral
UACGUAGGUGGCAAGCGUUGUUCGGAAUUAUUGGGCGUAAAGGGCGCGUAGGCGGCUUGUUAAGUCGGCUGUGAAAGCCCGGGGCUCAACCCCGGAGGGUCAGCCGAUACUGGCAGGCUAGAGUACGGAAGAGGUAGCUGGAAUUCCCGGUGUAGCGGUGAAAUGCGUAGAGAUCGGGAGGAACACCAGAGGCGAAGGCGGCCACCUGGACAAGCACUGACACUCAACUGCGAAAGCGUGGGGAGCAAACAGG